CUCGUGUCUAUUCUUGGGGCAGAUUGGAAAUUGCUUUGUGCUUACAGACCCCAAAGUUCAGGACAAGUAGAGAGAAUGAAUAGAACCCUAAAAGAGACCCUAACCAAAUUGACCAUGGAGACUGGCGGAGACUGGGUAGCCCUCCUUCCCUAUGCCCUGUAUAGGGUACAGAAUUCCCCUUAUAAAUUAGAAGCCACUCCCUUUGAAAUUAUGUUUGGCAUACCCCCUCCCAUAAUCCCCUGCUUGUCUGAGCACCUGCUUGUAGAAUUUGAUGACUCUGACCUCUUACAGUCCCUAAAAGCCCUGCAACAAGCCCACCAGGACGAGUGGUCCCACCUCAAAGCUCUGUAUGAAACAGGACCCCCUCCUCAGCCACACAGCUUCUGUUCUGGAGACUAGGUCUACAUAAAGAGACAUCAACAGGAAUCACUGCAACCUCGCUGGAAGGGACCAUACGUGGUGAUUCUCAUGACGCCCACUGCUCUCAAGGUCAAUGGGAUCGCCACCUGGAUCCACUACUCUCAUGCAAAGCCAACGGACUUGUUCCCCAUGAGGAGUGACUUCAUUCCGGAUUCGAAUUCCAAGUGGCAAGUUACUCGUCAUAAGGACAAUUUUCUUAAUUGUUUAAACCCUAGUUAGGAUGCUAUUAUUAGUCUGGCUGCUUAUUCUUGCUUGCAUUAGUACCAUUCUUUGUAAUAACCCCCAUUUUCCAUAUAAGUGGACCUGGGUAAUCCAGAAUCCAGCAAUUGGACAUAACAUAGUCUUGGCAACUCAGGAAGGACCCCAGAUAUGGUUCCCGGACUUAGAGUUUGAUCUUUGCCAGUUGGCUGAGGGGUCGUGGAAACAAACAAAACAAAAAGGCUCUGACACACCCAUCCAUUAUAUGAGAAAGAGGUACCUGAGCUCUGAUGGCUUAAAUGGUCCUCCCUAUAAAAUGGAUACCUGGUACAUAUGCCCCAGAGAGUCCCGACCCCCGCAAUGCGGGAGUUCUACAGAAUAUUAUUGCAAGCAAUGGGGAUGUGAGACUAGUGUGGGAGGGUCUAGAGCCUGGAAGGUCGCCAAAGAUGACUUAGUAAAAUACUCCAGACCACAUAGUCAGAACUCCUGGAUACAAGCCAGAUUCACCCCAAAGGGAAAAGAGGCACAAGGAUGGGAACAAGGAAAUCUUGGGGAAUAAGACUUUACCAGAUAGGAAGCAGUGAUGAAGGACUCAUUUUUAUUCUCAAGGUUUUAAAGACCCAAAUUGUACCCGCUGUGGUGGGACCUAAGAAAGCCCUGGCCCCACCACCAUCAGCUAACACCCCCAUUAUGCCCGAAAGUACCCAAGUACCUAAGACUAUCCAGAGGAUCCCUGAGGACAGGGACCUAAACUCUCCACCUGAACUGCCCAACCUACUUGUGCCUGGCAUUUCAGAGGAGAACACCUUGAGAGCUCCCUUGUGGAAACUGCUGCUAAAAACUUAUGAUGUUGUAAACAAAACCCAACCCCAGGUGACAGAUAUGUUGGAUAUGUUAUGAUCUGCAACUCCCCUUUUAUGAGGGGAUAGCUCUCCCAGGAAGUUAUACACUGACUAGCAAAGUACAGGACUGCCUAUGGGAACCAGUGGAAUCUGGACUUACCUUGGAGAAGGUUAUUGGGAAAGGCAGCUGUGUGGGAAACCCACCACCCUCUCUGCAGCAUUUAUGCAAUCAGACUUCCCCUAUACCCAC
This 1710-nucleotide long non-coding RNA is filed under the name Marmota monax (woodchuck). Lineage: Eukaryota; Metazoa; Chordata; Mammalia; Rodentia; Sciuridae. The record is from RNAcentral.